Molecule: ribosomal RNA, 166 nt
Filed under: Gymnocarpos przewalskii
Lineage: Eukaryota; Viridiplantae; Streptophyta; Magnoliopsida; Caryophyllales; Caryophyllaceae
Description: 5.8S ribosomal RNA
Rfam family: 5.8S ribosomal RNA
About the family: 5.8S ribosomal RNA (5.8S rRNA) is a component of the large subunit of the eukaryotic ribosome. It is transcribed by RNA polymerase I as part of the 45S precursor that also contains 18S and 28S rRNA.
Source: RNAcentral
GAAUGAACGACUCUCGGCAACGGAUAUCUCGGCUCUCGCAUCGAUGAAGAACGUAGCGAAAUGCGAUACUUGGUGUGAAUUGCAGAAUCCCGUGAACCAUCGAGUCUUUGAACGCAAGUUGCGCCUGAAGCCUUUGGCUGAGGGCACGUCUGCCUGGGCGUCACGC